Long non-coding RNA from Ruditapes philippinarum (Manila clam), 273 nucleotides. RefSeq lists it as uncharacterized. Lineage: Eukaryota; Metazoa; Mollusca; Bivalvia; Venerida; Veneridae. The transcript is spliced from 3 exons. The record is from RefSeq and is a predicted model, not a curated record.
UAUAAGUACUGCAUACAAAAAGUCAAACAUUGACCAUGUUUACUUUUCAGCAGAUAUCGAAAUGGGUCAAGAAGUGGAGAUAGAGCUGCCAAUUACAAGUGAUGCCCCAGCAGAGUGUGCAGCUGUGGAAAUAAUUGACACACAGACAGAAGACUGCACAAAUGGUGACAGCAAAAAAAUGCAAACCACCACACUGGAGCCAUAUGUUUAGAUUACAUAACAGAUAAGAGGGCUCCCCAGAAGUGUUUCUCUAAAAGAAUGAAGACAUUUAAG